CCUACGGGGGGCAGCAGUGAGGAAUAUUGGUCAAUGGACGAGAGUCUGAACCAGCCAAGUAGCGUGAAGGAUGACUGCCCUAUGGGUUGUAAACUUCUUUUAUAUGGGAAUAAAACGUUCCACGUGUGGGAUUUUGUAUGUACCAUAUGAAUAAGGAUCGGCUAACUCCGUGCCAGCAGCCGCGGUAAUACGGAGGACCCGAGCGUUAUCCGGAUUUAUUGGGUUUAAAGGGAGCGUAGGUGGAUUGUUAAGUCAGUUGUGAAAGUUUGCGGCUCAACCGUAAAAUUGCAGUUGAAACUGGCAGUCUUGAGUACAGUAGAGGUGGGCGGAAUUCGUGGUGUAGCGGUGAAAUGCUUAGAUAUUACGAAGAACUCCGAUUGCGAAGGCAGUUCACUGGACUGCAACUGACACUGAGGCUCGAAAGUGUGGGUAUCAAACAGGAUUAGAUACCCGAGUAGUC
Molecule: ribosomal RNA, 460 nt
Filed under: uncultured bacterium
Lineage: Bacteria
Description: partial 16S ribosomal RNA
Rfam family: Bacterial small subunit ribosomal RNA
Source: RNAcentral